GCGGCCCACAGGUCAGCCUCACCGACAGAAACGACCUCGUCCCGGCUCGUGUCUUCCCCUCCUGUUCUCUCCGCCAUUUUUGCCAAGAAAAUAAAGCAAUCAAUCAAAAACGAAAAAGGUGGCGAGAGGGAGAGGGAGAGGAAGGUGCCGGCCCUAGCAAUGGCGGGGUGGUACGAGGAGGCGGCGGGUCUGCUGCUGCGCCGGUCGGCGUUGGCGGAGAUGGCGGUAGAUGUGCUGCUGUGCGCCGUGCCGAUCUGGGCGGCGGUCAUGAUCGGCCUCUUCAUAGGGUGGGCAUGGCGGCCGCGCUGGACCGGGCUGAUCUUCCUCGGUUUCCGCAGCCGUCUCCGGCUCCUCUACGUGCCUCCCGGGCUCGGCGCGCGCCGCCUAUGGCUCGCCUGCACCGCGCUCUCCGCCUUCUCCGUCGCGCCGCAGCUGCUCUCCUCCGCCUUCCGCCGCCAUGGGAAGUACCAGCGCAAGGAUCCCUCGAACGACGACACGGACGCCUGCGGGGAUUCUGGCGCUUGCGCUAACGGCAGGUCAAUUUUUGAGGUCAAGCAUGGUAUUGUCACUGAGAAGGACCUAGAUCACCUCGUGCAGCUUUUAGAUAAUAAGGAGAGUGGGCAUACAACAUGGCAGCAUUUGAUGGAGCGUACCACUUCCAACAUGACGUACAAGGCCUGGAGGCAUGAGCCCGAGGUGGGACCUAUAAUGCAUUGUAGCCAGACCAUUUUCGAGGAUGCUACUCCUGAACUGGUUAGAGAUUUCUUCUGGGAUGAUGAUUUUCGUCUAAAGUGGGACCCCAUGCUUGUGUGCUUCAAAAUUUUGGAUGAGUUCCCUCUGAAUGGAACCACAAUUAUUCACUGGAUUAAAAAGUUCCCUUUCUUCUGCAGUGACCGUGAAUACAUUUUUGGGCGGCGUAUCUGGGAGUCGGGGAAGGCUUACUAUUGUGUUACGAAGGGAAUUCCUUAUCCAUCUUUGCCCAAGAAGGAAAAACCGAGGCGUGUGGAAUUGUACUUCUCGAGUUGGCGUAUUAGACCUGUUCAAUCGCCCAAAAAAGAUGGCCAGCAACACAUGGCAUGUGAAGUAACACUGUUUCACUACGAGGAUAUGGGCAUACCCAAGGAUGUUGCUAAAGUUGGUGUCCGCCACGGCAUGUGGGGUGCUGUUAAAAAGCUGCAGUCCGGCUUUAGAGCAUAUCAGCUAAUGAGAAAAUCAGAAAACAUCCUGUCACGCAGUGCCAUCAUGGCUCGGGUGACCACCAAGACAUGCAUUGCUGGUUCUGAUGGCUCCUUGGAUCAAGGGCCCUUCAGCACAGAACAAGCCAGUACAGAGGACGACAACUCCAGGGCAGUCCAACAUGGUUUCGACUGGAAGUGGGUGGUGGUCGGUGGCGCGGUGGCUGCCGUUUGCGUGCUUAACACCGGAAUUGUAGGGAAGGCCCUCUUACUUGGAGCUGCAAGAAGGCAGGCAAAGAAGUGAUGAGCAUCUACCAGCAUCCACAAAGUGAGCUUCACGACCAUCAGGGCCUGUCUCUGUCUAGAAAGUCGCAAUCGAGACCGAGGAUAAAGGAAUGAAAUCCAUACCAUACUACAGGAUGCAGAUAAUUCGGGUGCCUAAUUUUGGAUUGUGCCUUUUAAGCAGUAUAUCGCAAAUGUGUCUUGCUAUAACCGAUUAUGUGGUAUCAGGAAUCGUUAGAUGACGAUGUAUCUCAAGAUGCCUUCCGACUUCAAAGGAGAUGUUCCCGUCGAAGGCGAAGGCGAAGGCGUUUGUGGUGACUUCAUUAAUCUCAAGAUGAUGUGUUGACUGAGUCUCUUGGAGAUGUUCAUAGGGUAAAGUGUGUGCAUUGGGUUCAUAAAGCUGCUCCAUCGCAGAAGCGCUUCUUCCUAGUCCCUACGCACUGCCAUGGGCCGCGGCCGUCGUCUGAUGAAGGGUGGUGAACCUGUCGACACUGGCCGAGGUGUCGCUACCACGCCAAACAAGGAGCAAGUCACCUCCAAGACAAAGGUCAAGUGGAUGUCGCGCUUGUCAGUUGCUCCAUCGCAGAAGCGCUUCUUCGCAGUCCCUACGCACUGCCAUGGGCCGCGACCGUCGUCUGAUGAAGGGUGGUGAAUCCGUCGACACUGGCCGAGGUGUCGCUGCCACACCAAACAAGGA
This 2154-nucleotide ribosomal RNA is filed under the name Triticum aestivum (bread wheat). RNAcentral describes it as "partial small subunit ribosomal RNA". Lineage: Eukaryota; Viridiplantae; Streptophyta; Magnoliopsida; Poales; Poaceae. The record is from RNAcentral.